Molecule: ribosomal RNA, 253 nt
Filed under: uncultured bacterium
Lineage: Bacteria
Description: partial 16S ribosomal RNA
Rfam family: Bacterial small subunit ribosomal RNA
Source: RNAcentral
UACGGAGGGGGCUAGCGUUGUUCGGAAUUACUGGGCGUAAAGCGCACGUAGGCGGAUCAGUCAGUUAGGGGUGAAAGCCCAGGGCUCAACCCUGGAACUGCCUUUGAAACUGUUGGGCUUGAGUACGGGAGAGGUGAGUGGAAUUCCGAGUGUAGAGGUGAAAUUCGUAGAUAUUCGGAAGAACACCAGUGGCGAAGGCGGCUCACUGGACCGUAACUGACGCUCAUGCACGAUAGCGUGGGGAGCAAACAGG